UGGGGAAUAUUGCACAAUGGGGGAAACCCUGAUGCAGCAACGCCGCGUGAGCGACGAAGGCCUUCGGGUUGUAAAGCUCUGUCUUCGCUGACGAUAAUGACGGUAAGCGAGGAGGAAGCCACGGCUAACUACGUGCCAGCAGCCGCGGUAAUACGUAGGUGGCGAGCGUUGUCCGGAAUUACUGGGCGUAAAGGGUGCGUAGGCGGUUUUUUAAGUGGGAUGUGAAAUCCCUGGGCUCAACUCAGGAAUUGCAUUCCAAACUGGAAGACUAGAGUGCAGGAGAGGAAAGUGGAAUUCCCAGUGUAGCGGUGAAAUGCGUAGAGAUUGGGAGGAACACCAGUGGCGAAGGCGACUUUCUGGACUGUAACUGACGCUGAUGCACGAAAGCGUGGGGAGCAAACAGGAUUAGAUACCCUGGUA
This 420-nucleotide ribosomal RNA is filed under the name uncultured bacterium. Its description in RNAcentral is "bacterial SSU rRNA". It matches the Rfam family "Bacterial small subunit ribosomal RNA", at positions 355 to 792 of the family's 1533-position model. The record is from RNAcentral.